CCCGCAGGCCGGCGCCCGUUGCACCAGCUGCACCACCGCAUUGACCUGCGGCUCCGCUAACGUCGGCCGUCUUCAGGCCUGCCGCGGCUUCUUCCCCUACUGCAACCUCGGCCGGUGCUCUUUCUUCCCUGGAGAACUUUGUACCAACUCCACUGGUUAAAUCAGAACCUGGUACUGAACCUGAUCAUCGAUUAAAAAUUUCAACGACAUUUCGUAAAUGUAAUUAGAAUUAAUAAGGAGUAAAUUAUUUAAAUAAAUUGGCUAAAUAAUUACUACUUGAUUUUCUUUUCAA
Cydia amplana is the source of this 292-nucleotide long non-coding RNA. RefSeq lists it as uncharacterized. The transcript is spliced from 2 exons. Lineage: Eukaryota; Metazoa; Arthropoda; Insecta; Lepidoptera; Tortricidae. The record is from RefSeq and is a predicted model, not a curated record.